AACGAACGCUGGCGGCAUGCCUAGCACAUGCAAGUCGAACGAGACCUUCGGGUCUAGUGGCGCACGGGUGCGUAACGCGUGGGAACCUGCCCUUAGGUUCGGAAUAACUCCCCGAAAGGGGUGCUAAUACCGGAUAAUGUCUUCGGACCAAAGAUUUAUCGCCUUUGGUUGGGCCCGCGUUGGAUUAGCUAGUUGGGAGGGUAAAAGCCUACCAAGGCGACGAUCCAUAGCUGGUCUGAGAGGAUGAUCAGCCACACUGGGACUGAGACACGGCCCAGACUCCUACGGGAGGCAGCAGUGGGGAAUAUUGGACAAUGGGCGAGAGCCUGAUCCAGCAAUGCCGCGUGAGUGAUGAAGGCCUUAGGGUUGUAAAGCUCUUUUACCCGGGAUGAUAAUGACAGUACCGGGAGAAUAAGCUCCGGCUAACUCCGUG
This 433-nucleotide ribosomal RNA is filed under the name uncultured bacterium. Its description in RNAcentral is "partial 16S ribosomal RNA". It matches the Rfam family "Bacterial small subunit ribosomal RNA", at positions 29 to 507 of the family's 1533-position model. The record is from RNAcentral.